GCCUUAUGAUGAAAAUUACCCAGUUCUGCUACUGAUUGCAAGUGAUGACCAUUCAAAUUCUGAAGGC
Small nucleolar RNA from Rhineura floridana, 67 nucleotides. NCBI's taxonomy places the organism in Eukaryota, Metazoa, Chordata, Lepidosauria, Squamata, Rhineuridae. The record is from RefSeq and is a predicted model, not a curated record.